RNAcentral lists this ribosomal RNA (271 nucleotides) under uncultured prokaryote. RNAcentral describes it as "partial 16S ribosomal RNA". It matches the Rfam family "Archaeal small subunit ribosomal RNA", at positions 474 to 743 of the family's 1478-position model. The record is from RNAcentral.
CACCAGAGCCACAAGUGGCAAUCCUGAUUAUUGGGCCUAAAGGGUUCGUAGCUGAUUCAAUAAGUCUUUUUGUGAAAUUGUUAGACUUAAUCUAACAGUGUGCAAAAGAUACUAUUGAUUUUGAGACCAGGAAGAGGCAGAAGUAUUCUAAGGGGAGCGGUAAAAUGUUAUAAUCCUUAGAGGACUACCUAUGGCGAAGGCAUCUGUCUAGAAUGGGUCUGACAGUGAGGGACGAAGGCUAGGGGAGCAAACCGGAUUAGAUACCCCAGUA